This 593-nucleotide ribosomal RNA is filed under the name uncultured bacterium. Its description in RNAcentral is "bacterial SSU rRNA". It matches the Rfam family "Bacterial small subunit ribosomal RNA", at positions 64 to 690 of the family's 1533-position model. The record is from RNAcentral.
GAACGAGAAAGUGGAGCAAUCCAUGAGUAAAGUAGCGACCGGGUGAGUAACACGUGACUACCUGCCCUUGAGUGGGGGAUAACCUCGGGAAACCGAGGCUAAUACCGCAUAACAUCGCAAGAUCAAAGGAGCAAUCCGCUUUUGGAGGGGGUCGCGGCUGAUUAGCUAGUUGGUAGGGUAAUGGCCUACCAAGGCGAAGAUCGGUAUCCGGCCUGAGAGGGCGCACGGACACACUGGAACUGAAACACGGUCCAGACUCCUACGGGAGGCAGCAGUGGGGAAUUUUGCGCAAUGGGGGAAACCCUGACGCAGCAACGCCGCGUGGAGGAUGAAGCCCCUUGGGGCGUAAACUCCUUUCGACUGGGAAGAUUAUGACGGUACCAGUGGAAGAAGCACCGGCUAACUCUGUGCCAGCAGCCGCGGUAAUACAGAGGGUGCGAGCGUUGUUCGGAAUUAUUGGGCGUAAAGGGCGCGUAGGCGGUGUUGUAAGUCACCUGUGAAACCUCUGGGCUUAACUCAGAGCCUGCAGGCGAAACUGCAAUGCUGGAGGGUGGGAGAGGUGCGUGGAAUUCCCGGUGUAGCGGUGAAAUGCG